AUUGAACGCUGGCGGCAUGCCUUACACAUGCAAGUCGAACGGCAGCAUGGAGAGCUUGCUCUCUGAUGGCGAGUGGCGAACGGGUGAGUAAAGCAUCGGAACGUACCGUGUAGUGGGGGAUAACGUAGCGAAAGUUACGCUAAUACCGCAUACGCACUGAGGUGGAAAGCAGGGGAUCGUAAGACCUUGCGCUAUACGAGCGGCCGAUGUCAGAUUAGCUAGUUGGUAGGGUAAAGGCCUACCAAGGCGACGAUCUGUAGCGGGUCUGAGAGGUUGAUCCGCCACACUGGGACUGAGACACGGCCCAGACUCCUACGGGAGGCUGCAGUGGGGAAUUUUGGACAAUGGGGGCAACCCUGAUCCAGCCAUGCCGCGUGAGUGAAGAAGGCCUUCGGGUUGUAAAGCUCUUUCGGCCGGGAAGAAAUCGCACAGGCUAAUACCCUGUGUGGAUGACGGUACCGGCAUAAGAAGCACCGGCUAACUACGUGCCAGCCGCCGCUGUAA
This 504-nucleotide ribosomal RNA is filed under the name uncultured bacterium. RNAcentral describes it as "partial 16S ribosomal RNA". It matches the Rfam family "Bacterial small subunit ribosomal RNA", at positions 30 to 523 of the family's 1533-position model. The record is from RNAcentral.